This 109-nucleotide non-coding RNA is filed under the name Aurantiochytrium limacinum. Lineage: Eukaryota; Bigyra; Thraustochytrida; Thraustochytriidae. The record is from RNAcentral.
GUUCCGAAGAACCGGUCAAUGGACAGACAGACACAGAGAGAGAGAGACAGAGAAAGAGACAGAGAAAGAGAAAGAGAAAGAGAAAGAGAGGGAGACAGACUCCGUCAGU